GGUCUAAUGGCCCAAUGGCAAGGCGCUUGACUACGAUUUUCGAGUAAUCAAGAGAUUCCAGGUUCGACCCCUGGUUAGAUCA
Phaeosphaeria sp. MPI-PUGE-AT-0046c is the source of this 82-nucleotide non-coding RNA. NCBI's taxonomy places the organism in Eukaryota, Fungi, Ascomycota, Dothideomycetes, Pleosporales, Phaeosphaeriaceae. The record is from the annotation of a GenBank genome assembly.